Diospyros lotus (date-plum) is the source of this 88-nucleotide small nucleolar RNA. NCBI's taxonomy places the organism in Eukaryota, Viridiplantae, Streptophyta, Magnoliopsida, Ericales, Ebenaceae. The record is from RefSeq and is a predicted model, not a curated record.
GAGAGGUGUGAUGAUGCUUAAACCCAUUCCAUUCUGGAGGAUAAAUGGAUGAAGACACAUCUAAACAUGCACUACCAUCUGAUCUCUC